RNAcentral lists this ribosomal RNA (1000 nucleotides) under uncultured bacterium. Its description in RNAcentral is "bacterial SSU rRNA". It matches the Rfam family "Bacterial small subunit ribosomal RNA", at positions 356 to 1376 of the family's 1533-position model. The record is from RNAcentral.
GGGGAAUAUUGCACAAUGGGCGCAAGCCUGAUGCAGCAACGCCGCGUGAAGGAAGACGGUUUUCGGAUUGUAAACUUCUGUUCUUAGUGAAGAAUAAUGACGGUAGCUAAGGAGCAAGCCACGGCUAACUACGUGCCAGCAGCCGCGGUAAUACGUAGGUGGCAAGCGUUGUCCGGAAUUACUGGGUGUAAAGGGAGCGCAGGCGGGUGAUCAAGUCAGCUGUGAAAACUACGGGCUUAACCCGUAGACUGCAGUUGAAACUGUUCAUCUUGAGUGAAGUAGAGGUUGGCGGAAUUCCGAGUGUAGCGGUGAAAUGCGUAGAUAUUCGGAGGAACACCGGUGGCGAAGGCGGCCAACUGGGCUUUAACUGACGCUGAGGCUCGAAAGUGUGGGGAGCAAACAGGAUUAGAUACCCUGGUAGUCCACACUGUAAACGAUGAUUGCUAGGUGUGGGGGGUCUGACCCCUUCCGUGCCGGAGCUAACGCAAUAAGCAAUCCACCUGGGGAGUACGACCGCAAGGUUGAAACUCAAAGGAAUUGACGGGGACCCGCACAAGCAGUGGAUUAUGUGGUUUAAUUCGAAGCAACGCGAAGAACCUUACCAGCACUUGACAUCCAACUAACGAAAUAGAGAUAUAUUAGGUGCCCUUCGGGGAAAGUUGAGACAGGUGGUGCAUGGUUGUCGUCAGCUCGUGUCGUGAGAUGUUGGGUUAAGUCCCGCAACGAGCGCAACCCUCGCCAUUAGUUGCUACGCAAGAGCACUCUAAUGGGACCGCUACCGACAAGGUGGAGGAAGGUGGGGACGACGUCAAAUCAUCAUGCCCCUUAUGUGCUGGGCUACACACGUAAUACAAUGGCCAUCAACAGAGAGAAGCAAUACCGCGAGGUGGAGCAAAACUUCAAAAAUGGUCUCAGUUCGGACUGCAGGCUGCAACCCGCCUGCACGAAGUUGGAAUUGCUAGUAAUCGUGGAUCAGCAUGCCACGGUGAAUACGUUCCCG